This 311-nucleotide small nuclear RNA is filed under the name Dasypus novemcinctus (nine-banded armadillo). Its description in RNAcentral is "7SK RNA (ENSDNOG00000029453.1)". It matches the Rfam family "7SK RNA". Rfam says of the family: 7SK was discovered as an abundant small nuclear RNA in the mid-70s but a possible function has only recently been suggested. Two independent studies have found that 7SK RNA binds the CDK9/cyclin T complex (known as elongation factor P-TEFb). The record is from RNAcentral. Lineage: Eukaryota; Metazoa; Chordata; Mammalia; Cingulata; Dasypodidae.
GGAUGGAAGGGUGACCUGGCUGCUUCCUCUGUCCCCCCAGUGACUGCGGGGUUAGUUCUGGUGAUCUGCGAAGGCCCUUUUUCCAUGUCACUACUGCACAUGCUUCCUCUCUAAAGCUGCAUCCUGAUGCAGGACGCUGACUCCUGAGACUGAGGAGGACACAUCUUGGUCAAGGGUAUAUACGUGUGUGUGUCCCCUGCUAGAACCUCCAAGUACACUCUCGAGGUGCCUGUGUAGGAGAGUGUAGGUAAGGAAGAUUCCACUGCUAGAUGCCACCAAAGCAGGCACUGAACUGUGGCAGCCUGCCUGUC